AAAAGUCACUCAUAGACGUUGGUACUACAGUUUAACAGUAAGUAACCCAUGUGCCUCCAUAGUAUCUUUUAGGCUUAAAUUAUAUCAUUCUAAAAGUAUAUUAAUUUUAAUAAUUAUUAAAAUUUAAUUUUAAUUAAGUAAUUUAAUAAUUUUAAUAACUGCUGGAAUCUAACAUUGAAAUUUCCUGAAUAAAAUUUGACCCCUAGAAUAUAAACAGAUUUUUUAAAAAAUGAAUUUUGAAGAGUAUUUUUUUUUUUAAAUUAAGAUUAGAGUAUAGCAUACAGGCUUGUUCUAGCUCUAAAAGUCCAAGGCUCUAGGACUGUUUUUUGUAAAAAAAAA
RNAcentral lists this long non-coding RNA (339 nucleotides) under Homo sapiens (human). RNAcentral describes it as "HSALNT0364164". Lineage: Eukaryota; Metazoa; Chordata; Mammalia; Primates; Hominidae. The record is from RNAcentral.